CUACGUGCCAGCAGCCGCGGUAAUACGUAGGGCGCGAGCGUUGUCCGGAAUUAUUGGGCGUAAAGAGCUCGUAGGCGGCUGGUCGCGUCUGUCGUGAAAUCCUCUGGCUUAACUGGGGGCUUGCGGUGGGUACGGGCCGGCUUGAGUGCGGUAGGGGAGACUGGAACUCCUGGUGUAGCGGUGGAAUGCGCAGAUAUCAGGAAGAACACCGGUGGCGAAGGCGGGUCUCUGGGCCGUUACUGACGCUGAGGAGCGAAAGCGUGGGGAGCGAACAGGAUUAGAUACCCUGGUAGUCCACGCCGUAAACGUUGGGCACUAGGUGUGGGGGGCCUUUUCCGGGUCUUCCGCGCCGUAGCUAACGCAUUAAGUGCCCCGCCUGGGGAGUACGGCCGCAAGGCUAAAACUCAAAGGAAUUGACGGGGGCCCGCACAAGCGGCGGAGCAUGCGGAUUAAUUCGAUGCAACGCGAAGAACCUUACCAAGGCUUGACAU
This 491-nucleotide ribosomal RNA is filed under the name uncultured bacterium. RNAcentral's name for it is "bacterial SSU rRNA". It matches the Rfam family "Bacterial small subunit ribosomal RNA", at positions 501 to 987 of the family's 1533-position model. The record is from RNAcentral.